AGAAUCAACGCUGGCGGCGUGCCUAACACAUGCAAGUCGAACGAGAAAGUGGAGCAAUCCAUGAGUAAAGUGGCGACCGGGUGAGUAACACGUGACUAACCUACCUUCGAGUGGGGGAUAACCUCGGGAAACCGGGGCUAAUACCGCAUAAAAUCUUUGGAUCGGAAGAACUGGAGAUCAAUGGAGCAAUUCGCUUGAAGAGGGGGUCGCGGCUGAUUAGCUAGUUGGCGGGGUAAUGGCCCACCAAGGCUUUGAUCGGUAGCCGGCCUGAGAGGGCGCACGGCCACACUGGAACUGAAACACGGUCCAGACUCCUACGGGAGGCAGCAGUGGGGAAUUUUGCGCAAUGGGGGAAACCCUGACGCAGCAACGCCGCGUGGAGGAUGAAGUCCCUUGGGACGUAAACUCCUUUCGACCGGGACGAUUAUGACGGUACCGGUGGAAGAAGCCCGGCUAACUUCGCGCCAGCAGCCGC
Molecule: ribosomal RNA, 475 nt
Filed under: uncultured bacterium
Lineage: Bacteria
Description: SSU rRNA
Rfam family: Bacterial small subunit ribosomal RNA
Source: RNAcentral